GACGAACGCUGGCGGCGUGCUUAACACAUGCAAGUCGAACGGAAAGGCCCUGCUUUUGUGGGGUGCUCGAGUGGCGAACGGGUGAGUAACACGUGAGUAACCUGCCCUUGACUUUGUGAUAACUUCAGGAAACUGGGGCUAAUACCGGAUAGGAGCUCCUGCUGCAUGGUGGGGGUUGGAAAGUUUCGGCGGUUGGGGAUGGACUCGCGGCUUAUCAGCUUGUUGGUGGGGUAGUGGCUUACCAAGGCUUUGACGGGUAGCCGGCCUGAGAGGGUGACCGGCCACAUUGGGACUGAGAUACGGCCCAGAAUCCUACGGGAGGCAGCAGUGGGGAAUAUGGCACAAUGGGCGGAAGCCUGAUGCAGCAACGCCGCGUGCGGGAUGACGGCCUUCGGGUUGUAAACCGCUUUCGCCUGUGACGAAGCGUGAGUGACGGUAAUGGGUAAAGAAGCACCGGCUAACUACGUG
Molecule: ribosomal RNA, 468 nt
Filed under: uncultured bacterium
Lineage: Bacteria
Description: partial 16S ribosomal RNA
Rfam family: Bacterial small subunit ribosomal RNA
Source: RNAcentral